Long non-coding RNA from Oncorhynchus keta (chum salmon), 1296 nucleotides. RefSeq lists it as uncharacterized. The record is from RefSeq and is a predicted model, not a curated record. NCBI's taxonomy places the organism in Eukaryota, Metazoa, Chordata, Actinopteri, Salmoniformes, Salmonidae. The transcript has 3 exons.
GGUAGCCUAGUGGUUAGAGCCUAGUGGUUAGAGCCUAGUGGUUAGUAUGGUGCGGCAGGUAGCCUAGUGGUUAGAGUCUAGUGGUUAGAGCCUAGUGGUUAGUAUGGUGCGGCAGGUAGCCUAGUGGUUAGGGCCUAGUGGUUAGAGCCUAGUGGUUAGAGUCUAGUGGUUAGAGCCUAGUGGUUAGUAUGGUGCGGCAGGUAGCCUAGUGGUUAGAGUCUAGUGGGUAGAGCCUAGUGGUUAGUAUGGUGCGGCAGGUAGCCUAGUGGUUAGGGCCUAGUGGUUAGAGCCUAGUGGUUAGUAUGGUGCGGCAGGUAGCCUAGUGGUUAGGGCCUAGUGGUUAGAGUCUAGUGGGUAGAGCCUAGUGGUUAGUAUGGUGCGGCAGGUAGCCUAGUGGUUAGAGCCUAGUGGUUAGAGCCUAGUGGUUAGAGCCUAGUGGUUAGUAUGGGGCGGCAGGUAGCCUAGUGGUUAGGGCCUAGUGGUUAGAGCCUAGUGGUUAGAGCCUAGUGGUUAGAUCUAACCUAGUGGUUAGAGCCUAGUGGUUAGAGCCUAGUGGUUAGGGCCUAGUGGUUAGGGCCUAGUGGUUAGAGCCUAGUGGUUAGUAUGGGGCGGCAGGUAGCCUAGUGGUUAGAGCCUAGUGGUUAGAGCCUAGUGGUUAGUAUGGUGCGGCAGGUAGCCUAGUGGUUAGAGUCUAGUGGUUAGAGCCUAGUGGUUAGUAUGGUGCGGCAGGUAGCCUCGUGGUUAGAGUCUAGUGGGUAGAGCCUAGUGGUUAGUAUGGUGCGGCAGGUAGUCUAGUGGGUAGAGCCUAGUGGUUAGUAUGGUGCGGCAGGUAGUCUAGUGGUUAGAGCCUAGUGGUUAGUAUGGUGCGGCAUGUAGCCUCGUGGUUAGAGUCUAGUGGUUAGUAUGGUGCAGCAGGUAGUCUAGUGGGUAGAGCCUAGUGGUUAGUAUGGUGCGGCAGGUAGCCUAGUGGGUAGAGUCUAGUGGUUAGUAUGGUGCAGCAGGUAGCCUAGUGGGUAGAGCCUAGUGGUUAGUAUGGUGCGGCAGGUAGCCUAGUGGGUAGAGCCUAGUGGUUAGUAUGGUGCAGCAGGUAGUCUAGUGGGUAGAGCCUAGUGGUUAGAGUCUAGUGGUUAGAGCCUAGUGGUUAGAGUCUAGUGGUUAGUAUGGUGCGGCAGGAAGCCUAGUGGUUAGGGCCUAGUGGUUAGAGCCUAGUGGUUAGUAUGGUGCGGCAGGUAGCCUAGUGGUUAGGGCCUAGUGGUUAGAGCCUAGUGGUUAGUAUGGUGCGGCAGGUAGCCUAGU